AUUGAACGCUGGCGGCAGGCCUAACACAUGCAAGUCGAACGAGUGGCGGGCGGGUGAGUAAUGUCUGGGAAACUGCCUGACGGAGGGGGAUAACUACUGGAAACGGUAGCUAAUACAGAAUACCAUCAGAGGUGCCCAGAUGGGAUUCGCGAGUUGGUGGGGUAACGGCGAACAAAGGCGACGAUCCCUAGCUGGUCUGAGGGGAUGACCAUCCAUACUGGAACUGAGACACGGUCCAGACUCCUACGUGAGGCAGCAGUGGGGAAUAUUGAGCAAUGGGCGCAAGCCUGAUGCAGCAAGGCCGCGUGUAUGAAGAAGGCCUUCGGGUUGUAAAGUACUUUCAGCGGUGAGGCGUUACCCGCAGAAGAAGCUCCGGCUAACUCCGUGCCAGCCGCCGCGGUAAUUC
RNAcentral lists this ribosomal RNA (406 nucleotides) under uncultured bacterium. RNAcentral's name for it is "partial 16S ribosomal RNA". It matches the Rfam family "Bacterial small subunit ribosomal RNA", at positions 30 to 526 of the family's 1533-position model. The record is from RNAcentral.